This 243-nucleotide unclassified non-coding RNA is filed under the name uncultured fungus. RNAcentral describes it as "sequence contains ITS2". Lineage: Eukaryota; Fungi. The record is from RNAcentral.
AACGCACAUUGCGCCCCUUGGUAUUCCGGGGGGCAUGCCUGUUCGAGCGUCAUUUCAACCCUCACGCGUAGCGUGGUCUUGGGCUCUGCCGGCAACGGCUUGCCUUAAAAUCAGUGGCGGUGCCCUCGAGCUCUACGCGUAGUAAUAAACCCCUCGCGUGUGAGCCUCGGCGGUCGCUUGCCAGCAACCCCCAAUUUUUUUAUGGUUGACCUCGAAUCAGGUAGGGAUACCCGCUGAACUUAA